AAGUCGUAACAAGGUUUCCGUAGGUGAACCUGCGGAAGGAUCAUUACAGUUUUCUGCGCUUAACUGCGCGAAAUACACAGUGUUUCUAUAUACAAUUAUCUCCAGUGGGCGUAAGCACGCUGGAGCAAGUUCAACUAACUUUAUUAUUUUUUGUCAACAAAGUAUUAAUAUCAAAACUUUCAACAACGGAUCUCUUGGUUCUC
Molecule: unclassified non-coding RNA, 203 nt
Filed under: fungal sp.
Lineage: Eukaryota; Fungi
Description: partial internal transcribed spacer region
Rfam family: Eukaryotic small subunit ribosomal RNA (bases 1-46)
Source: RNAcentral